AAAUAAGAAGUAAAAAUUACCUUUAGUUUCGACCUAAAAUUAUGAUGAAUCUCAUCCUUAUUUA
RNAcentral lists this transfer RNA (64 nucleotides) under Graptodytes pictus. Its description in RNAcentral is "tRNA-Arg". Lineage: Eukaryota; Metazoa; Arthropoda; Insecta; Coleoptera; Dytiscidae. The record is from RNAcentral.